GACGAACGCUGGCGGCGUGCUUAACACAUGCAAGUCGAACGGAAAGGCCCUGCUUUUGUGGGGUGCUCGAGUGGCGAACGGGUGAGUAACACGUGAGUAACCUGCCCUUGACUUUGGGAUAACUUCAGGAAACUGGGGCUAAUACCGGAUAGGAGCUCCUGCUGCAUGGUGGGGGUUGGAAAGUUUCGGCGGUUGGGGAUGGACUCGCGGCUUAUCAGCUUGUUGGUGGGGUAGUGGCUUACCAAGGCUUUGACGGGUAGCCGGCCUGAGAGGGUGACCGGCCACAUUGGGACUGAGAUACGGCCCAGACUCCUACGGGAGGCAGCAGUGGGGAAUAUUGCACAAUGGGCGGAAGCCUGAUGCAGCAGCGCCGCGUGCGGGAUGACGGCCUUCGGGUUGUAAACCGCUUUCGCCUGUGACGAAGCGUGAGUGACGGUAAUGGGUAAAGAAGCACCGGCUAACUACGUGCCAGCAGCCGCGGUGAUACGUAGGGUGCGAGCGUUGUCCGGAUUUAUUGGGCGUAAAGGGCUCGUAGGUGGUUGAUCGCGUCGGAAGUGUAAUCUUGGGGCUUAACCCUGAGCGUGCAUUCGAUACGGGUUGACUUGAGGAAGGUAGGGGAGAAUGGAAUUCCUGGUGGAGCGGUGGAAUGCGCAGAUAUCAGGAGGAACACCAGUGGCGAAGGCGGUUCUCUGGGCCUUUCCUGACGCUGAGGAGCGAAAGCGUGGGGAGCGAACAGGCUUAGAUACCCUGGUAGUCCACGCUGUAAACGGUGGGUACUAGGUGUGGGGUCCAUUCCACGGGUUCCGUGCCGUAGCUAACGCUUUAAGUACCCCGCCUGGGGAGUACGGCCGCAAGGCUAAAACUCAAAGGAAUUGACGGGGCCCCGCACAAGCGGCGGAGCAUGCGGAUUAAUUCGGUGCAACGCGUAGAACCUUACCUGGGUUUGACAUGGAUCGGGAGUGCUCAGAGAUGGGUGUGCCUCUUUUGGGGUCGGUUCACAGGUGGUGCAUGGCUGUCGUCAGCUCGUGUCGUGAGAUGUUGGGUUAAGUCCCGCAACGAGCGCAACCCUUGUUCACUGUUGCCAGCACGUUAUGGUGGGGACUCAGUGGAGACCGCCGGGGUCAACUCGGAGGAAGGUGGGGAUGACGUCAAGUCAUCAUGCCCCUUAUGUCCAGGGCUUCACGCAUGCUACAAUGGCUGGUACAGAGAGUGGCGAGCCUGUGAGGGUGAGCGAAUCUCGGAAAGCCGGUCUCAGUUCGGAUUGGGGUCUGCAACUCGACCUCAUGAAGUCGGAGUCGCUAGUAAUCGCAGAUCAGCAACGCUGCGGUGAAUACUUUCCCGGGGCU
This 1346-nucleotide ribosomal RNA is filed under the name uncultured bacterium. RNAcentral describes it as "partial 16S ribosomal RNA". It matches the Rfam family "Bacterial small subunit ribosomal RNA", at positions 28 to 1381 of the family's 1533-position model. The record is from RNAcentral.